Molecule: unclassified non-coding RNA, 466 nt
Filed under: Hevea brasiliensis (rubber tree)
Lineage: Eukaryota; Viridiplantae; Streptophyta; Magnoliopsida; Malpighiales; Euphorbiaceae
Source: RNAcentral
AAGGACACCAGCCGAUCGGCCUACACCCGGAGUCCCGCUGCCGUCCUGUGAAGCGAGUGAGCUCACGCAUCUCCAGAAGUCUUGCGUCUCCAGAAGUCUAGCGUCAUUCUUCACGCGCCGGCGCGUGCACCUUUUUUUUUGGGUGAUUUCUCCGAUUGUGCCUCUUGCCGACAACCUUCCCUGUCCGGCGUGCCUCUGACCAACGUGUUUUCACACCUGGUUUGCACAUUUUUUUUUUUGUACCUUCCGUUGCCCAGUUUCUUACUUUCUGUCUUAGCACCUAUUUCUUUAAUUGAAAAAUAACUGAUGAAAAGAAGAAAAACUUUGAAACAAAGGCUGGAUUUGUUGGUGAUAAUUCUUCUUCACAAAUUAGUCCUGUAAAGUUGGAUGAAACUAAUUGUUUGGCAUGGUUUAGAUCUUGUUUACUAUUUAUUCACGCUAAAGGACUGCAGGGGUAUAUCACUGG